This 253-nucleotide ribosomal RNA is filed under the name uncultured bacterium. RNAcentral's name for it is "partial 16S ribosomal RNA". It matches the Rfam family "Bacterial small subunit ribosomal RNA", at positions 524 to 776 of the family's 1533-position model. The record is from RNAcentral.
UACGAAGGGGGCUAGCGUUGUUCGGAAUUACUGGGCGUAAAGCGCACGUAGGCGGAUUAGUAAGUCAGGGGUGAAAUCCCGGGGCUCAACCUCGGAACUGCCUUUGAUACUGCUGAUCUCGAGUCCGGGAGAGGUGAGUGGAAUUCCGAGUGUAGAGGUGAAAUUCGUAGAUAUUAGGAAGAACACCGGUGGCGAAGGCGGCUCACUGGUCCGUAACUGACGCUGAGGUGCGAAAGCGUGGGGAGCAAACAGG